This is a non-coding RNA of Tetranychus urticae (two-spotted spider mite), 664 nucleotides long. NCBI's taxonomy places the organism in Eukaryota, Metazoa, Arthropoda, Arachnida, Trombidiformes, Tetranychidae. The record is from RefSeq and is a predicted model, not a curated record.
UCAUUACCAAUCCCAAGAGAAUUGAUUAAAUUGGAUUUCAUGUUAACUUGGGUAUCCGUGAUGGCCCGAGUAGAUUCAAGUAAAUGAUGUUGCCUGAUGUUUAAUUUGAAACAGUCGUGAUAAGAUGAGAUUUGUUGGGAAAUAAUGAAAAGAGUAACAGCUCCAGAUUGGUUGAUUGGAAUGUAAACUAAAUUAGCAAAACUUGAUCCAUCUUCAAUUAGCUUUUGUCAUUUCCAUUUGUAAUAAAUCAUUUCAUGGAAUAUUAAUCAAAGAGUAAAAAUAAUUGAAUUAACCAAAUGGAAUGCAGACUAAAAAGGGAAACAUGAACUCAAAUCUUGACAAAGUUUCAUGUUUACAUAAUAUUUUACUCAUUUCAAUGAGUCUCUCCAUGAAUAUCUUGAAACGUUGAAGAACAAUGAAGCAAGUAAACGAAAAACCUUUACACCAUUGCAUGAUACUUUCCUUUUCUUUUCUAUUUUACAUAUUUACUCUUUAUCUCUUUUACCAUCUCUCUUUAUAAUCAUAACUCUAGAUUCCCAAUCAGCAUUCAUGAAUAUAUAUUCACACACUCAAUCACAUUCAUCACUUGAUCGAUUCCAGGAUAAGCAGAUGGCAGUGAAUAACUUAUCUUUGUUUCCAUAAACUUCAAUUUUGUUUCUUUCAA